Fukomys damarensis (Damara mole-rat) is the source of this 125-nucleotide small nuclear RNA. The record is from Ensembl. NCBI's taxonomy places the organism in Eukaryota, Metazoa, Chordata, Mammalia, Rodentia, Bathyergidae.
GUGUUGUAUGAAAGGAGAAAAGGUUAGCACUAUCCCUGAUGAGGUUGGAAGAGGCCCUCAGCCUGACAAUAGGCAUACAGUUAAGGCACUGUCACCUUCUUAGAGGCAUCUAAACACCAUUUGAG